ACGGGAGGCAGCAGUGGGGAAUAUUGCACAAUGGGGGAAACCCUGAUGCAGCGACGCCGCGUGAGUGAAGAAGUAUUUCGGUAUGUAAAGCUCUAUCAGCAGGAAAGAAAAUGACGGUACCUGACUAAGAAGCCCCGGCUAACUACGUGCCAGCAGCCGCGGUAAUACGUGGGGGGCAAGCGUUAUCCGGAUUUACUGGGUGUAAAGGGAGCGUAGACGGUAAGGCAAGUCUGAAGUGAAAUGCCAGGGCUCAACCCUGGAACUGCUUUGGAAACUGUCCUACUAGAGUGCAGGAGAGGUAAGUGGAAUUCCUAGUGUAGCGGUGAAAUGCGUAGAUAUUAGGAGGAACACCAGUGGCGAAGGCGGCUUACUGGACUGUAACUGACGUUGAGGCUCGAAAGCGUGGGGAGCAAACAGGAUUAGAUACCCUGGUA
This 434-nucleotide ribosomal RNA is filed under the name uncultured Lachnospiraceae bacterium. RNAcentral describes it as "partial 16S ribosomal RNA". It matches the Rfam family "Bacterial small subunit ribosomal RNA", at positions 341 to 792 of the family's 1533-position model. The record is from RNAcentral. Lineage: Bacteria; Bacillati; Bacillota; Clostridia; Lachnospirales; Lachnospiraceae.